GAGAGAAAAAAAAGUUUGAGAGAGAGUUUAAGAGAGUAUAAUGAAAUAGGGGGGAAGAAUGACUUAAAUAGAAUGAGAAAGGGCUCCAACGGUCAAAUUGACCGUUGGAGCACUGUAGCACUGCUAUAGUGUGGUAACGACCGUUGGAGCAUUGUAGCACUGCUACAGUGUGGUAACGAUCGAAAUCGACCGUUACCGCUAGAUAUUACAUCGUAUCGUUCGAUAUGAGAUUUUUUUGAAUGUACCGCUCGGUAGCGGGCGGUCUGCGUACCGGUAUGUACCGCCCGUACCGGGCGGUAUAAUUCGGUAUUGCAGACCUUGGUCAUGAAUAUAGAAAUUCAGAAAAUAAAUCUAUCUGAGAUAUUUUUUUUCUGCUGUUAUGUAGUCCAUUCUCUAAUCUUAUAUAGGAAAUAUUUUAUUGAUGUCAGUUAUCUAGUUUUACGUGACAUGCCAUAUUUAGUAAUUUGUGCAUCUCUGUGUAUUUGCCUCGUUCAAGAUUCAGAUUGUUCAUUGUACCAACAACAACAAGAAGUGAAGAUAUCAUGGGUAGCUACUAUCAUUUUCUAAAAUGUUGUAUGAUUGGUUAUAACCAUUGAGUGUCAUACAAUUUCAACAAGGGUGAUUUUGAUUUAUUUACUCUCAAGUGUUGGUGCUAUCAGUUUUUUUGGUUAUGUUAAUGUUGCUCUGAGCUAGGAACUAGGUCAGAGUUUUUUUAAAAAAAAUUGAAGAGAAUCUCAAGAAGUAAGAAAUCAUGAAGACAAAUGUCCAUCUUUAAAUAUUUUUGUGAUUUUAAAUGGAAUAUUAAAUGCAAAGCUACCUUUCUUGUGAUCUUAGAGUUCUCUCUUGGUGAUUGUUAUUUGUCAUAGCUUGAUAAGAUUAGUAACCAGAUGACACUCACUUAAUAUGGGUUGUUUCUCUUUUAUUUUCAAAAUUUGCUAUCAAGUAGAUGCUAAUGCAGACAAAUUCCAAUGAUUUAUGACCUCUCCUCGACCUUUAGGUAUUAAUGUUGGUGUGUUUGUCUUAAUGAAAUUUGGGACUCAAUUGCUGAUGGUUUCAGCUUGGUCAUUUCUCAGAUGAUGGCGAUUGCAAUAUGUGGAUAUGGAAUUAUGGGAUAGUGUCACUUGGUAGAAUGUUUUUUCUUUGAUUAUUAGCUCUUAUGUUGUCUAGAUUCAACUUCCAAUAGCAUUUUGUAGUGCUUGUGAUCAAGAUUUUAGUUAUGCUCACUGAUCCGAAGUUUUUGUUUAUGUUCACUUAUCCAAAUUGAGAGAUUUACAUGAGCUCUUGAAAUGUUGCUGAAGUCAAGUCUGCAAUUUUGUGCCCUUAACAUUGGAACUAUAAAUUUUUAUGAUGUGUUGUUAGCAAGAAGUUCUUAUGCAUUUAUGAUGCAAUUAUUACUAUAGUUAAUAAGGUUUUAUAAUGUGGCAUUUUAUAUUGUUUGCUAUGCUUUAGCUAAAUUGACUUUACUCAACUCGAUACUCAAAGAACAUCCUUGUGUAAUUUUUACGGUCCUUUUUGCUUAUCAUGUUAUUACUUCUAAAAUAAUUAAUUUGUAAUUCUAUGAUGGUAAAUGUACAAUGUGAAAUAUUAAGUGUAAAUAAAAUCUCACUCAAAUUGAAAUGACUAGCAAAGCAAAUUAUAAAGGUAUCGUACAAAGCUAGUUGUUAAUUGGAACAUAUUUGUGCAGCAUUCAACUGAUAUCUCAAUAAAAGAUGCUUCUUAAUCAGGUUAAAACACAUGUACUUAUCCAUACAUUUUGAAGGUACACUCAAUCAGUUACGUUUUGAUAUGGUAAUUUGAAACUUUUAUUUUUAGUCUCCAUAGGUUAGGCUUUGUAGAAUCACUAGAUUUGGGUAUAAAAGUAGAUGCAUAACUGAAUCAUGACACUUUUGGCUCAUAUCAUAUUAUUUUUUAUCACUAAAUAGAAAGCUAGCUACUUAGUUUUGAUGAACAUCUUCUAUUGUUUAUAAAGCAAAUUGUCAUGCCCUGUAAUUCUUUAUGUUAUUUUUCUUCUUUUAUUUUUUCAUGUAAUAUGGUAUCAAAACUUAAUCGUUGACCCGUAUGCUCGUCCCUCUUGGAUUUGUAUGCUAUGUUUGUAUGUAGUUGUUUUUGCUUUUCAUGUACUUUCCAACUUCCAUGAAUGAAUUGAAUAUUGGUACUAAUUUUAACGCAAUAUGAUGUGAUAUAACACAAAAAUACAAAAAUUGUUAGUUGACCGGUACGGGGCGGUCCGCGUACGGGGCGGUCCGCGUACCGACAACUUGUCGGACCGGUACGUACCGCCCGUACCGGGCGGUAUGGCUCGGUACGGCAAACCCUGAUUUCAACCUAAGAGAACUGUAAACCACAGUAUAUUUCAUAAUAGUAAAGAGAUACCAAACAAAUAAAUCUAUGAGCUUGAUAAAGGUGAGGCAUUGUAAUUCUGUUUAUUAUGUUUUUCCCUGUGAAAUGAAUAAAAAUAUCAAAUUUAUAUGUCUUUCCAUGAAUAGACUAGGUCUUCUGCAACAUAGAUACACUUCUAAUCCUAAGAUAGGGCUAGAAAACUGGUGCCAAAUGGGAUAUAAUGUAGGUUCUAAAUUUUGGAAGUUAGCUUACUAGAUCAAUAGUUCACAAAUGCUUCAUUAUGGUGAUAGUGGAGUAGUUCGGGUCCUUCCGAUUAACAGGAUCUUCAUUGAAUCUGAAGGUUCUGAUUUGUGAUUGUUUCAGUCUAUGGGAUUUAUCUUGCUGAAUCAGUUGUAGCUGUAGAAGAGUAGUAGCAAUGUUCAUGAGCUUGAUAGACAAGCUUGUUAUGUUUCAUAUAAAUGUUCACCAAUUAAUGACAUGGCUACUAUUUCAGUAUUUUUUCAAUUCUGCUGUUGUGGUCAUUUACCACAAGUUUCAGCAUCCAAGCACUAUAUCUGAAAUUUUCCUUUUGUAAGUAUAACACCGACCUUUGAGUUGGUAUUUCUUGUUUCCAACUUCCCAAUUUGUUUACUGAGAUUAAGGUAGUAGCAACGGUUGUGAUUAUUUAUUGUGAUUCCAGUAAUAUCACAUGUGGUACCAAGUUUGAAUUUGACAUGAUAAUUCCGAUUGAAUUAUUGAAGUCAUCAUUUUUUUAAUAAUAUAUUGAUGGUCUUGUUGGAUGUAAUGGAGAAACAAAAUGAAUAUUGGGUAAGCAUUUGAAGUCUCCAUCUCCAAAGUUACCAUCCCUUCCAACACCUCUACCUCUGUGCCUCUUGCUAUCGUCAUGUACAUCUUGUAAACUAUCAUUGGCCUUAUGGACAAGGCUAAUGCAGUGGAGAUUGAUGAUCCUCAGGAAACUCCAGAGCCUGAUCAAGACAAACAAGAAGCUCAUGGCCAAUGGUGCGUGCAUCCUUUGCAAGAAGGGGAUGGUGUAUAUACCAAGGUUCGUAAUACGGUACCGUACCGUACCGGUAUUUCGACCUGGGCUCGAUACCGGUACGGUACGGUAUACCGAGCGGUACACCUAGGUGUACCGAGUACUGUAGCACUGCUACAGUACUACAGUACACUCGGACCGAUAACAGUCGGUCCGCGUACCGACAACCUGUCGGACCGGUACGUACCACCUGUACCGGGCGGUAUGGCUCGGUACGACAGACCCACUAUAUACAACCUUCUUUUUCUCUUGAUUAGUGGUUAUUGGUGUUUGAAUUGUAAAACUAGAAAUCAGUUUUAUGUUGUGAAAUUAUGCAUCGAAGAACAAGAGAAUGAAUGUCUGACAAAUUACCAAUGAGAUCAUCUAGUAUUUUUUUUAUUAAUGCACAUAUGCUUAGCUCACCCUUGUUAUGCAGAAUAAUAGUUAUUCAUACUGGUCAGAUUUUUUUUGUUUCCCUCGUGUUUCAAAUGGUUUGAAAAUUUCGUGCUUGACGUGGAGCCAUCCAGAAAAGAUCCAUCUACUAGGUGCUUGUUAGUGUUUGACUUGAAGCCUCACACUUUGGAUAAAAAUUUGAGAGAAUUUGUACAUGAAUGAACAACCAGUGUACUUUUUUUUCCCAAAAGUGGACAAAUUUAUAUAUCCAAGCUGAUAUUCUAGAUAUUGUUUGUCAAAAAUGAACUAACAAAAUGAAAGAAUGCAGGAAGAACUCGUAAGAUUCUGAACGUUUACAUCUUGGGGCAAUGUAUCAUUCGAACCAGAAGCUUAGCUUAAACACACACUUUACCUUCAUUUGAAUUAGUGAAUUGGUCCCCCAUCUCUCUCUCUCUGUUAAGCCUUCUGAAUUUGUUAAUGAAAUAUUGCAAAUUGUUUUGAAGAGUUCAAUUAUUUCAAGAAUUACUUCAAUGCAUUUUAUUGGUAUACUAAGUGAACUGAUUUUCCAAAAAAUUUAGAAGUCAUAUGUUAAUUUAUAAGUAAACCAAAGGGACGUCGCUUGUUUUUUUGCCCGCGUAGGAGAAAAACCCUCCCCCCGCACCAAAAAGGGUGACGAGGCAAUCGCCCCUUUUUAUGUUAUAUAUAUAUAUAUGUAUAUGUAUAUAUAUAUGUGUAUAUAUAUAUAUAUAUAUAUAUAGAUAUCAAAUGUACCUCUCGGUAUACAGUACCAUAUCGUACCGAGCGAAUCUCAAAACUCCGAUAUUGUAUGAAAUUUCAAUCCUUGUCCUCAACAUUCAUUUAUUAUUCAUUAUAAUCCUUGUCCUGAACAUAUAUUUGUUAUUCAUUAUAAGUUUUUGGCUUUUGUAUAUUGGAUCUUAAAUUGCUAAACUAAAAAUGUAAGUAUUGGAAUGAAAUCCUACAGAAAGAAACAAGAUGUCUAAUUAGUUUAUGUCAACUAAUCUAGACAAAAGUAAAUAAAUAAUGGGUCGGACGGAUAGUUUACAUUAUAUGAUUCAAGUUUCAAAAAUUCUAUAUAUUCUUGCAAAACUCUUAGGAUAUGCCGAAAUAAAAGUUGCAAUUGAUCACAACAAGAAAAAAGAUAUAACUUAAUUCCUCGAUGGUGUGACAAAAUUUGAACAUUUUUUUUGUAUUACAAUAUAUGUCUCUUUAACUCAAGUCCAUGAUAGUGUAAUCAAUUUAAUUGUCUUCUUUUAUAUAAAUUAUUAUCUGAAAGAGUCUUCCCGUAUUUUCUUAAUUUCUGAUUUUUUUUAUUUUAGUACACUUGUUAAUGGAGCUAUCUCUUGAUCUUCCAAGGCAUUCCCUCAUUAAGAUAUUAGGACAAGCUACCCAGUUGAUAUAUGGAUCUGAAAAUUGAAUAAAAGUUACAUAAAGAUUGCAUCUUUCAUGAAACAAAUAGGAUAAAUAUUUAUAUAGUUGGGUUUCCUUACCACAAAUGGAGUACCAAUAGACUAGGUUAAUUAAAAAUGUUCUCACCUUGAACGUUAGGCAGGAGGCAAGGUUAGGAGGAACAAAUUUAAAUGGACAAAUUUAUCUUAUAUAAGUAUGUGUUAGACGUAAAUAAAUUUUUGCUUAGUUGUAAACAAGAUGAAACAUGUUCAAUCUAGUAGAGUUAUUAUGUUGAUGUGAAUGCCUCAAUCGAGAACUUCAUUUUCUCUAGGUUUUUCUGCAUUGGAAGUCGUUGUGUCAUAGGUUAGUGAUAUGUUCAGAGAUGGCUAUGCUUAAUUUCCCCCUUUCUCCACCAAAAUCACAGCCAUAGAGAAAACAAACUUUCUUAUGUUUUUAUGUGUUGGCAAAAAAAUGUUUCUCAUUGUUAGGUUUAAAAAAGCGAGUAGUGCCAUGAUUCAAAGGCCUCUUUGUUGUCUAAUUAGACAGAAGUAUACUUAUUUUUCGGAUCUACAAUUGUCACUUUUAAAUUCCUUCUAGGUGUUUCAAUUUUGAUCUUUCUCAAAGAAAAUUAGUUUCUUUACUUGAUUUCUUGUUAUGAGUACUAAUGUUUCUAACACCGCCAAUGUCGGUCCCAAGCCCGAAUGAAAAAGGUGGAGGGUUGCUUAAGGCCAUAAAAAGCCAGUGUUGAAAACAUGUUAGUACUCAUAAGCAUGAUCCUAACUGUUUCAUGGUAAGACUAGUCCGUCACAAUAAAUUGAUGCAACGUAUAUUGACCUCUCCAGUUAUUAUGAGAAAUAGAGUUUUCUGUUCCUAAUUCUAACAUUUAAAGUGCCCAUUAGUUCUUUAAAUCAAGGUCUGCAAUACCGAAUGAUACUGCUCGUACCGAGCGGUACAUACCGGUCCGUCAAUAGACCAGUACACGGACCGCCCGCUACCGAGCGGUACCAUCAAUUAAGGCAUUAUCGUUAUCGAUUGAGGUGUUAUUAUCGACGGUGAUCGAGGGAGAAGAAAGAAGAGGGAGAAGAUGAAGAAAGAAAUAGGAAAUAAAGGUAGAACCUGGAUGUCACCUCUCUCCUCCUCGCCUGUCGACUUCUCAUCUGUGCGCGGGAGAAGAUGCAUCGGCUUGUGGGGCGGAGAGAAGCGAAGAUUUUUUUUUUUUUCUUCUCUUCUUGGGUAAUGUCGCCUCGGGCAUCAUCGCAAUAUUUUUGUUUUUUAGAUUUCAUAAUUUUUUUUUAUCUGCGACGUCGCCCCGCAUAGAGGUAAACUGUGCGGUUUACCUAUAUAUAUAUAUAUAUAUAUAUACACACACACACACACAGCGGUAUACCAAAAUAUACCACUCGGUAUAUAGUAUCAUACCGUAUCGAAUUAGUCUUGAAAUUUUGGUAUGGUACAAAAUUUCAAUCCUUGAUUUAAGUGACGUCUUUUAUGGACUAACAUGCAAAUAUCGGGACUAUGUAACUUAUAUAUCAUGAACUAGCAUUGUCCAUAAUGUAAGUUACUCAUCUAAGAAACCAACAAGUAUGCUUUCUAUGGAUGAUAAUUGUUAGGACGGGAAACCACAGCAUGUGGAUAAGGUUCUUAAUGGUGAAAUUUUAUAGGUUGGAUCAAGGUAUGCAAUACCGUACCGUAUUAGUAUUUCGAGGUUGGCUCGGUAUGGUACAGUACUGUAUACCGAGCGGUACGCUAGGGUGUACCAAGCGGUACACCUAAUUUAGGUGUAAGACCCUCCGAAAAUACCUAAAAAUAAAAAAAAAAGUUAGGAUAGGAUUUUUAAGUUAGAAAUAAAUAUAGUAAUAGCAUAAGUUUAGUAAAAUCAAUGUAAAUUAGGUAAGAAUAGUAUCACAUAUUUUUUUCAGGCUUUGAAGAAUAUCUUAUGCAAGGUUCGUAUUUCAAUUCAGUACGGAUUAUCCUUAUGUAAACAUACCUCUUGAUUAGAAAGUUCUUCCUCUUAAUCUUUCUAAAUUAGCCUCGAUUCAAUUCACAAAUCGUUGUUUUGUAGAGUUUAGGAGAGCACAAAUGUGAGAAAAAAAGAGUUUGAGAUAGUUUAAGAGAGUAUGAGAAUGUAAUGGAGUGAAAUAAAGGAGAAGAAGGGUUUAAAUACCAUAAGAAAGGGUUCCAACAGUCAAUUUGACCAUUGGAGCACUGUAUCACUAUUACCGAGCGGUUUUAAAUAUUUCUUCCUCUUACUGUAGCAUUGUAGCACUCUAGCAUGUUCUAUCUGGUAGCGGGCGGUUCGCGUAUCGGUAUGUCGUCGGAUCGGUACGUAUCGCCCGUACCGGGUGGUACCAUUCUAAAUUGGUUGGAUCAAGAUUGACAAUCCUUGGAACAUGAUGAGAUAAACUACUCCACUUUAUUUGACUUUGUGAACUAAAACUUGAUGGUUAAUUUUUUUUUUAACUUUUUAUUGGCAGCUGCAAUGACAUAUAUGAAUCUCCAAUUGAAUUGUGAGAGACACGAUGGCUAUGCAGGUCCAUUUCUCAAAGGAUUUGGACUGCCAUUUACAAGGACAAGUCUCCACAUUGUUAGUUACAGAUGUUCUUCUGUUUCUUCUUUGCAUUUUGUUCUGUAAUAUUUUGUGUCAAACAUUGAAAUAAUUAUAGAUGAUGUGUUCCAUAUUACUUAAUAGAAAUUCUUUUGCUUUUUGGCUUUCCACGUGUUCAAAAGUGUUCUUUCUUAGUUUAGAGGAUUCCACAAUAAGUUUAUGAAGAAACUAAUGUUAAUUAAAUUAUUUUUUCAUGCAUAUUAUGUGAAUGGAUAUGGUUUCUUAUCAAAUCAAUUUACAACCUGAUUUGGCAAUUUUGUACUUGAAUAGUUGGGUCUGUCUUCAAUAUUUGAUGAAAUUGUUAAAACUGAAGUAACCAGGCACAUGCAACUUAAUGAUUACUUGAGCUUGUUUGGGGAAGAAUUCAAAUGAACUGAAGAUUAUUAGGAUGCUUCUUAUUUGAAUGUCUUGGAUAUAUCUGCAGCGGAAGAAGGCAGUCCUCAUGUCUUAUUUGGAUGUGCUUCACAAGUAUGUUCUAAAUGAUCACCUACCCUAUAAUGUUUUUUAAACUAAUUAUCCUGUUUUUUUCCUAUUGGAAUAACUUUUAGCCACCAGGAGUCUGCUUCUGUAACUAAAUUGCCGAGUGUUUACAUUCUUUUAUAAUGAAUAGAUAGCUUCUCCUGUUCUGCAAAUUGGCUAACAGUAAUUCAAAAUUUUCGUCCCUAUUACCACUUAUACAAGCACUGCUUCCAGGUGAAAGGUCUCUGUUUUAAGUUAAAACUUUUAACACCUUUUACUAGUUUAUAUAUUAAUUAAUUUGGAUGGAUUCUGAUUUCCUUUCAUUUGAUGGCACGUCUUCCUCCAAUUAGCCUCCUAAAUCAAGUUGAUGAUAGUUUUUCUUUGUCGAAACAUCCUUCUGUCCAGCAUGCUCUCUCUCAGGUUCAGCAGUGAUGCAUCUGGGUGAUAUACGUUACAUGCAUUUGUAUUCUUAUCAAAAGUCUCAACAAUUCAUAUUAAUCUGUUGUUGCAGAUAAUAAUAAUUUCAUCGUCAUCUUCUUAAUGCUUGUGCGGGCUAUCUGUCUUCAUUCUUAUCAUCUCGUGUUUGUUGGUUUCAUACCAAGUUUAAUUAUGAAUAGACAACUUACUUUUUGGCUUUCUUAGUAAGCAUUUAUUUUUCAAUCUUCAGGCAAAAGCAGCAUGUGUAUUGAUUGAUUUAUGCUUUGGACCAUUAUCACCAUGGAUAUAUACAAUUACUGCAAAGGUUGAUCUUGCAAUUGAACUUCCGGAGGACCUCUUGGUGUUAUUCAAGUGUUUUCAUAAUCUGCUAGCCAUGCUUAUGUUGCUUUGAAGCAAGGUAUACAAUUUGAAUGGUACCGCUCGGUACGGACGGUACGUGCCAGUCCGACAGGUUAUCGGUAUGCGGAUUGUCCGUUACCGCCCGGCACAGCUCGGUAACGGUCGAUUUCGACCCUUUCUCAUGUUUUUAAACCCUUCUUCUCUCCUAUUUCACUUCAUUUUAUUCUCACUCUCUUAAACUAUCUCAAACUUUUUUUUUCUCAUAUUUGUGUUAUCCUAAACUCCAUUACACCUAAAUUAGGCGUACCGCUUGGUAUGUCAUACCGUACCAUACCGAACCAACCUCGAAACACCGGUAUGAUAUGGUAUUUCAAUCCUUGCUUUGAAAUAUAUCUUGUUGGUCUUGUCUGGGCAUAUGGAUGAUGUACUGUCAAAAUAUAAGGUUUGACCUAUUGAAGUAUCAAGCAUAAUUUUGCUUACUCUUUCCAGUCAGAUAGAUGAUGCUUUUACCAUCCGUGUAGGAAUUUGAACAUAGGCUUCUAUUUCUUUUGGAGAUGCUAGAACCCUUCCUUGAUCUUGUGAUUACUGGAACAAAGAAUACAACUUCUGCUUAUGAUAUACACUUGGAGAAAUAGAAGAACUGUUGUAUUGCAUUCAAUGUUAUAUGUACUGCAUUAUGAAGGCCUGCCAUUCUUCCUUUUGUGGAAUCUGAAUGGAGACGUGGAUCUAUCGCACCAAGGUCUACUGUAACAGUAUAUGAUAAUAUCAUAGGAAAAAUAAAAAAAACUUUAACAUCUUUAUAGUUUAUACUUUAUAGUGCUUAUUUUUGGAGAUGCAAAGAGAGAGAAUGAAGUGAUCGGUGAAGACUGUAGUUUAAAAAGAUGUGAGAGUCAAAAAAGAAGAAAUUAUUUUUUGUUUUUUUUUCCCUGCAACAAAAAGAAUAUUAUCAAAUGCACCUUGUUGGUUGUUACAUUACUUGGUUUUCAUUUAGCUGACAAUAUACUUGUACUCCUUUUUGUUUUGGGGUCACAUAUGUCAUUUCCUUUAGAUAUUGACCUUUACAAAUGUUCAUUUCCUAAGGUGGCUGAUCAAGAGUCUUUAGCUGUUUCUUCUGACUUUGUGAUAUGUUCUCAUGGGGCUUCUAGCACAUCCAGUAAUCUGGAUGAAGCAAAGAGAAAGAUUGAUGCAUCUAAAGCUGCCACAAGAAAAGAUGUACUCCAAGAUGCUAAUCUGUAGUUUGCUCCUAGAGAUCUGUCAAAAAUUGUUUUGACAAGUGUUUCCAAGGGACUGGAUCAGAUUGAAUUUCGCUUGUGGUGUUUCAGAGGUGAAUAAGAUUUCAAAUAACAACUUUCAGAAUAUUGGUUUCUUUGCUGAUUACUUGUAUUCACAAGCAUAUUAUCUACAACUUGUAAACUAUCAAGAUUCGGUAUAUAGGGCUUCCCAAUUUGAACAUUUGGCAGUUGAUUUGUGUUCCCAGCAUGACAUGACCCUAGAAAGCCAUGAAGCUGCAAUAGAAGCCAUACUCUUGGCUACAGAAUGUUAUGUCAACUCAUUCUUUGAAAAUCAUUGGAUCCAAAUUCAAGAAUAAAAAUGGAUUAGUGGUGUUUUAUAAAGACCUUAAGAGAUGUAAUGUCAAUCUGGAGACAAUAGCUUAUCUUGAAAGUAAAAGAGAUAUAACUGUUCUACAAAUUCUGCUUCCGCUAAACUGGACCUCGAAUCUGGGAGAAUUUUGGCUCUUGGGAAAACCUUGUACAUAUUAUUUUGAAGGUAAUCAGCAGGCUUUGGAAAUAUCACAAGUCGACAUUGAAUCAGCUGAUGUGGCAACAUUGAUUAGGCAGAAUCAACCAUUGCUUUGUCACUUUGUAAUCCUCCUUCAGAGUCUCCCCUCUUUCUACUGCAUUCUGCAACUGAGUUAUCCUGUUCUGUAGAGAAUGUUAAUGACAUUAUACUGCAGUCAGCUGCAAAUCUUAGUGGACAAAUUACAACUUUGUACACCCAACUGAAAGCAAGCAACAUACAGCUUGAAAUGGAAAAGUUACAUGGGCUGCAAAGGUGCUGGGCACUUCUUGAAAGAUUAAUAAUAACAUCUUCUGGAAAUGAUGAACGGACAUAUCCCAUUGGCAUCAAAAGUGCUGGUUUCAUCUACAGAACUUUAUUCCACAUUUAUCGUGGAUGCAGAAAAUAUCCAGAUUUUCAAGUUGCAUAUGUCCAUUUUCUAGAUUUUUAGGAUGGGUGUCAGUAUCUUGAAAUGCAAAGCAAUACUUGAAGGGACACAUGUUUAUUACCUCUGAUCUUU
Molecule: long non-coding RNA, 11292 nt
Organism: Musa acuminata AAA Group (dessert banana)
Lineage: Eukaryota; Viridiplantae; Streptophyta; Magnoliopsida; Zingiberales; Musaceae
Exons: 3
Source: RefSeq, a predicted model, not a curated record